RNAcentral lists this ribosomal RNA (492 nucleotides) under uncultured bacterium. RNAcentral describes it as "partial 16S ribosomal RNA". It matches the Rfam family "Bacterial small subunit ribosomal RNA", at positions 29 to 507 of the family's 1533-position model. The record is from RNAcentral.
AGUGAACGCUGGCGGUAGGCCUAACACAUGCAAGUCGAACGGCAGCACAGUAAGAGCUUGCUCUUACGGGUGGCGAGUGGCGGACGGGUGAGGAAUACAUCGGAAUCUACUUUUUCGUGGGGGAUAACGUAGGGAAACUUACGCUAAUACCGCAUACGACCUACGGGUGAAAGCAGGGGAUCUUCGGACCUUGCGCGAUUGAAUGAGCCGAUGUCGGAUUAGUUAGUUGGCGGGGUAAAGGCCCACCAAGGCGACGAUCCGUAGCUGGUCUGAGAGGAUGAUCAGCCACACUGGAACUGAGACACGGUCCAGACUCCUACGGGAGGCAGCAGUGGGGAAUAUUGGACAAUGGGCGCAAGCCUGAUCCAGCCAUACCGCGUGGGUGAAGAAGGCCUUCGGGUUGUAAAGCCCUUUUGUCGGGAAAGAAAAGUAGCAGGUUAAUACCCCGCUGUUCUGACGGUACCCAAAGAAUAAGCACCGGCUAACUUCGUG